This 372-nucleotide ribosomal RNA is filed under the name uncultured organism. RNAcentral describes it as "bacterial SSU rRNA". It matches the Rfam family "Bacterial small subunit ribosomal RNA", at positions 526 to 896 of the family's 1533-position model. The record is from RNAcentral.
CAGAGGUCCCAAGCGUUGUUCGGAUUCAUUGGGCGUAAAGGGUGCGUAGGUGGCAUGGUAAGUCGGGUGUGAAAUCCCGGGGGCUCAACCCCGGAACUGCACUCGAUACUGCCGUGCUCGAGUACUGGAGAGGAGACUGGAAUUUACGGUGUAGCAGUGAAAUGCGUAGAUAUCGUAAGGAAGACCGGUGGCGAAGGCUAGUCUCUGGACAGUUACUGACACUGAGGCACGAAGGCCAGGGGAGCAAACGGGAUUAGAUACCCCGGUAGUCCUGGCAGUAAACGGUGCGCGUUUGGUGUGGGAGGAUUCGACCCUUCCGUGCCGGAGCUAACGCGUUAAACGCGCCGCCUGGGGAAUACGAUCGCAAGAUUA